RNAcentral lists this ribosomal RNA (170 nucleotides) under uncultured bacterium. RNAcentral's name for it is "partial 16S ribosomal RNA". It matches the Rfam family "Bacterial small subunit ribosomal RNA", at positions 356 to 524 of the family's 1533-position model. The record is from RNAcentral.
CGCGGGGGUUGGCAUGGGCGCACCCUGAUCCAGCCUGCCGCGUGUGUGAUGAAGGCCUUCGGGUUGUAAGCUCUUUUAUCGGGAACGAAACUUGUCGGUCAAUACCCGGCACGACUGACGGUUCCCGGCGAACAACCACCGGCUAACUCCGUGCCAGCAGCCGCGGUAAU